RNAcentral lists this unclassified non-coding RNA (656 nucleotides) under Hevea brasiliensis (rubber tree). Lineage: Eukaryota; Viridiplantae; Streptophyta; Magnoliopsida; Malpighiales; Euphorbiaceae. The record is from RNAcentral.
ACUUUGAUACGUCUUCUGAGUGCCCAGUUGAAGCAUCUUUGCAAAGAUAUCCAGAAAUACGACUUCUGAGCUCGUCGUCUGAAAUCUUAGUCCUUGCAUACCCAAAAAUAUGAACUUCAUUUGAUUGCAGAAAACCCUGGCGGUAAAGAUUAAAGAGAGCAGGGAAAGUCUUCUUCUUGGCGAGAUCACCAGAGGCACCAAGCACAAUAAUGGAAAGGCACCCAGUUUCUGGCACAUUCUCGUAUUCUUUAGAAAAUGAAUCACUUCUAAAACUAGAUCUCUUCUCCAUUAACCACUGACCCGAACCCAUUUUCUACCUCGUUACAGAGUCUUUGAAUCAAAAUUUGGCUUCCAAACAAAGGUCCCCUGGGAGCUGGAGAGUCAGAGAGAGAUAUUUGAUGUCAAAUACAGAGGAAGAGAGCUACUUGAAUUCAAUGUUUUGAAAAGUGGUUCACAAUUUGCUCUGAUUUUUGUUGCGGUUGAAUUCCCCACCAAACUCUUCUUGUCUGGUAUGAAAUUUUGAGUUACAUCAUUACCAUCGCCAGCUGCCGAAGACUGUACUUUUUUCACACAAAACUCCCUGUGUUUCCUGUUUAUUUCAACUUGUGCUCAGCUCUGCAAAAGAGAAUUCAAUUGCAUCCCAUGAAUGAUUUUAC